This 529-nucleotide long non-coding RNA is filed under the name Rattus norvegicus (Norway rat). RNAcentral's name for it is "long non-coding RNA NONRATT033610". The record is from RNAcentral. Lineage: Eukaryota; Metazoa; Chordata; Mammalia; Rodentia; Muridae.
CCCGCCCCCACGCUAGCCGGUGGGCGGGGCCUUGGCGCUCACGCUCGGCUGGCUGCUCGCGUAGGGUCCCUAAGGGGAUGUGAACUGACUUUCCCAACUCUGACUGCCCCGGGCCGCGGCAGGCGACUCUUGGGACCUGACAAGUGUGGAUACUCAUCGGGGCAGACCGGUCAGGACCGCUGCGUCUACUGAAAUGAGUUGACUACAACUGCGAGGUAAACUGUUCCCUCCUUCCACAGAUGAGUCUGACACAUGCUGUCCUUCAUGCACUAAAGAGACGCAGACUGCAGUGCUGUGUGGGCUUCUGACGUCACUCUACCACCGUAAAGAUGAAAAGUGCUCUGAUGAUGUCACUCAUCUCCCCAACCUGUCCCCAACUCACAUAUUAACUGCCUAAGUGCACAGGGGAGCCCCUGAGUUUCACAGCACCAGCUAGGCUGAGAACUUUUACGCUCGUCAUGGUGAUGUGACAUGGACCAUGGCGUGCUGUGUGGCGUGCUGUGUGGUGUGCGGUGUGCGGUGUGUGGUG